RNAcentral lists this unclassified non-coding RNA (338 nucleotides) under soil metagenome. RNAcentral describes it as "partial contains 5.8S ribosomal RNA, internal transcribed spacer 2, and large subunit ribosomal RNA". The stretch from base 1 to 120 matches the Rfam family "5.8S ribosomal RNA", at positions 35 to 154 of the family's 154-position model. The record is from RNAcentral.
GAUGAAGAACGUAGCGAAAUGCGAUAAGUAAUGUGAAUUGCAGAAUUCAGUGAAUCAUCGAAUCUUUGAACGCACAUUGCGCCCGGUAGUAUUCUGCCGGGCAUGCCUGUUCGAGCGUCAUUUCAACCAUCAAGCCCCAGCGCUUGUGUUGGGGGCCUGCGGCUGCCGCAGCCCCCCAAAAGCAGUGGCGGGCUCGCUAUCACACCGAGUGCAGUAGUUCAUCUUCUCUCCGGUCUUGUGAGGCGGGUUCCGGCCGUGAAACACCCCACUACAUUCAAGGUUGACCUCGGAUCGGGUAGGACUACCCGCUGAACUUAAGCAUAUCAAUAAGCGGAGGA